UACAGAGGGAGCAAGCGUUAUCCGGAAUGAUUGGGCGUAAAGCGUCUGUAGGUGGUUUAGCAAGUCUACUGUCAAAUACCAAGGCUCAACCUUGGGCAGGCAGUAGAGUACUUUUAGACUAGAGUGUGGUAGAGGUAGAGGGAAUCCCUAGCGUAACAGUGAAAUGUGUAGAUUUUAGGGAGAACACCAGCGGCGAAGGCGCUCUACUGGGCCAAGACUGACACUGAGAGACGAAAGCUAGGGGAGCGAAUAGG
This 254-nucleotide ribosomal RNA is filed under the name uncultured bacterium. RNAcentral describes it as "partial 16S ribosomal RNA". It matches the Rfam family "Bacterial small subunit ribosomal RNA", at positions 524 to 776 of the family's 1533-position model. The record is from RNAcentral.